ACGUAGGUGGCAAGCGUUGUCCGGAAUUAUUGGGCGUAAAGCGCGCGCAGGCGGUCUCUUAAGUCUGACGUGAAAUCUCGCGGCUCAACCGCGAGCGGUCAUUGGAAACUGGGGGACUUGAGUGCAGAAGAGGAAAGUGGAAUUCCACGUGUAGCGGUGAAAUGCGUAGAGAUGUGGAGGAACACCAGUGGCGAAGGCGACUUCCUGGCCUGUUCUUGACGCUGAGGCGCGAAAGCGCGGGGAGCGAACGGGA
RNAcentral lists this ribosomal RNA (253 nucleotides) under uncultured prokaryote. Its description in RNAcentral is "partial 16S ribosomal RNA". It matches the Rfam family "Bacterial small subunit ribosomal RNA", at positions 525 to 777 of the family's 1533-position model. The record is from RNAcentral.